RNAcentral lists this ribosomal RNA (253 nucleotides) under uncultured bacterium. RNAcentral describes it as "partial 16S ribosomal RNA". It matches the Rfam family "Bacterial small subunit ribosomal RNA", at positions 524 to 776 of the family's 1533-position model. The record is from RNAcentral.
UACGUAGGGGGCUAGCGUUGUCCGGAAUCAUUGGGCGUAAAGCGCGCGUAGGCGGCCCGGUAAGUCCGCUGUGAAAGUCAAAGGCUCAACCUUUGAAUGUCAGCGGAUACUGCCGGGCUAGAGUCCGGAAGAGGCGAGUGGAAUUCCUGGUGUAGCGGUGAAAUGCGCAGAUAUCAGGAGGAACACCAAUGGCGAAGGCAGCUCGCUGGGACGUGACUGACGCUGAGACGCGAAAGCGUGGGGAGCAAACAGG